CGGCGGACGGGUGAGUAACACGUGGAUAACCUACCUAUAAGACUGGGAUAACUUCGGGAAACCGGAGCUAAUACCGGAUAAUAUUUUGAACCGCAUGGUUCAAAAGUAAAAGACGGUCUUGCUGUCACUUAUAGAUGGAUCCGCGCUGCAUUAGCUAGUUGGUAAGGUAACGGCUUACCAAGGCAACGAUGCGUAGCCGACCUGAGAGGGUGAUCGGCCACACUGGAACUGAGACACGGUCCAG
Molecule: ribosomal RNA, 244 nt
Filed under: uncultured Staphylococcus sp.
Lineage: Bacteria; Bacillati; Bacillota; Bacilli; Caryophanales; Staphylococcaceae
Description: partial 16S ribosomal RNA
Rfam family: Bacterial small subunit ribosomal RNA
Source: RNAcentral